CUCCUGAAUCCUGCAAGUUGUUGUUACUCAGGUCCAGUUCUCUGAGACUGGAGGACUGGGAGCUGAGAACUGAGGACAGAGCUUCACAGCUUCUCUCUGAGACGUUACAGCCACUCAGUAGAACUUUGUUGGAGGCUUUAACCACUGGCAGCAGCCUCAGAAGAACCUCCUCUGAAGCAGAGUAUUUCUUCAGGUCAAACACAUCCAGAUCUUUUCCUGAUGACACUAAGAUGAAACCCAGAG
Long non-coding RNA from Xiphophorus couchianus (Monterrey platyfish), 243 nucleotides. RefSeq lists it as uncharacterized. The record is from RefSeq and is a predicted model, not a curated record. The transcript is spliced from 3 exons. NCBI's taxonomy places the organism in Eukaryota, Metazoa, Chordata, Actinopteri, Cyprinodontiformes, Poeciliidae.